Molecule: transfer RNA, 74 nt
Filed under: Candidatus Taenariivivens baikalensis
Lineage: Bacteria; Pseudomonadati; Candidatus Omnitrophota
Description: tRNA-Arg
Rfam family: tRNA
About the family: Transfer RNA (tRNA) molecules are approximately 80 nucleotides in length. Their secondary structure includes four short double-helical elements and three loops (D, anti-codon, and T loops). Further hydrogen bonds mediate the characteristic L-shaped molecular structure. tRNAs have two regions of fundamental functional importance: the anti-codon, which is responsible for specific mRNA codon recognition, and the 3' end, to which the tRNAs corresponding amino acid is attached (by aminoacyl-tRNA synthetases). tRNAs cope with the degeneracy of the genetic code in two manners: having more than one tRNA (with a specific anti-codon) for a particular amino acid; and 'wobble' base-pairing, i.e. permitting non-standard base-pairing at the 3rd anti-codon position.
Source: RNAcentral
GCGCCCGUAGCUCAAUUGGAUAGAGCAUCACACUACGGAUGUGAGGGUUGCAAGUUCAACUCUUGCCGGGCGCA